Molecule: ribosomal RNA, 443 nt
Filed under: Macrocentrus sp. RDB-1
Lineage: Eukaryota; Metazoa; Arthropoda; Insecta; Hymenoptera; Braconidae
Description: eukaryotic LSU rRNA
Source: RNAcentral
CCUGAGAAACCCAAAAGAUCGAAUGGGGAGAUUCAUCGUCAGCUUAUCCGGUAUAUGUGCAAGUUGUGAUAAAAAUUUUUCGGAAUUUUUACACGGUUGUGUCAUUUAAUUGCCGGAUAUUUGUCGGCGUGCACUUCUCCCCUAGUAGGACGUCGCGACCCGUUGGAUGUCAAUCUAUGUCCCAAUUGGUAGCCUUUAGUAAUGUUUUUAUUAAUAUUAUUGAAGACCAUUGGUGUAUUAUACUGAUUGACUGUCCGACGGUAUGCGCAUGGUAUUGAGCCGCAUAAUAUGUGCGUCGGGCUUGUAACAAGUGUAAUCAGUGUCUAACCUUGCAGUAUGGACUUUGUUCCGUCGUGAGGCCUGAUUCACUGUUGGAUUACAAUGUUCUUCGACCGGCUCGAAAUUUGAAAAGAAUACCAGUCGGCGACGCUACUGCUUUGGUA